UAAAACAAACAUACCCGCAUAUCUCCAACAUUUAAAAAUUAGAUGAGGGACCAGAAAACAAACUGGACGAGUUUUUCAGUGCUGCUUUAAUGUGCUCAAGGAGAAGAUGCUGCUUAACAAGUAGUCUGCCAAAUCCUGUAUCAGCUGCAGUUUCCAGACAGAAGUAAAAUGCAGUCCCACGUAGAGCACAUUACGGUAUCUAACCUGGCAGUCACAAUAGGUGAUUGAUGCAAGAUUCUCUCCCAGCAGAAAAAGUAUUUGACACAAGAGGUUACUUAGCAACAUUUAGACAUAGGGCUAAAAUGACAAUAGGAUAGAGGUUUAAUAAGGGACUACAAGAGGACCAAAUUUCAAGACUGACCACAAUAAUGGGAGGAAGUGCAAAUGGCAUCUUUCCACAUGACCAAGACUCCCACAGGAAAGGGGAAGGAUAGCCCAAAUCUCUUUGGACUCCAGUUGAAUUUGGUCAGCAGUUGCUGUGAUGGGGACCUGUGCACACCCUACAGCCCAGAUACGGUCUAUAGAAAGGUCCCCAAAGAGAAGAGGCCGCUGCGCCGCCCGCGGAGCGCUGAGGUCGGCUGGUGGGCCAGCUCCCUGCAACAGCGCCCUCGCUGCCGCGACGUGGCUGAGCUGCCGGACAAGCCUGGAGUGAAAAGGCCAUGGCUGAUAGGGCUUCAUCUUCUCACCUCGCCUGGAACAUUUUAAGCUCUUGAGUGGGUUUGUCUCAAAAAGUAUCUGCAAGCCAGGGUGCAAUAAAUAAAUAAAUAUCCAUACA
RNAcentral lists this long non-coding RNA (775 nucleotides) under Anser brachyrhynchus (Pink-footed goose). Its description in RNAcentral is "lncRNA (ENSABRG00000002183.1)". The record is from RNAcentral. Lineage: Eukaryota; Metazoa; Chordata; Aves; Anseriformes; Anatidae.